GGGUUGUGAGGUUAAGCGACUAAGCGUACACGGUGGAUGCCUAGGCAGUCAGAGGCGAUGAAGGGCGUGCUAAUCUGCGAUAAGCGUCGGUAAGCUGAUAUGAAGCGUUAUACCCGACGAUACCCGAAUGGGGAAACCCAGUGUGUUUCGACACACUAUCAUUACGUGAAUACAUAGCGUAAUGAGGCGAACCGGGGGAACUGAAACAUCUCAGUACCCCGAGGAAAAGAAAUCAACCGAGAUUCCCCUAGUAGCGGCGAGCGAACGGGGAGGAGCCCAGAACCUGAAUCAGUUUGUGUAUUAGUGGAAGCGUCUGGAAAGUCGCACAGUAAAGGGUGAUAGUCCCGUACACAAAAAUGCACAAAUUGUGAGUUCGAUGAGUAGGGCGGGACACGUGACAUCCUGUCUGAAUAUGGGGGGACCAUCCUCCAAGGCUAAAUACUCCUGACUGACCGAUAGUGAACCAGUACCGUGAGGGAAAGGCGAAAAGAACCCCGGCGAGGGGAGUGAAAUAGAACCUGAAACCGUGUACGUACAAGCAGUGGGAGCCUUGAUUAAUCAGGGUGACUGCGUACCUUUUGUAUAAUGGGUCAGCGACUUAUAUUCUGUAGCAAGGUUAACCGUAUAGGGGAGCCGUAGGGAAACCGAGUCUUAACUGGGCGUUAAGUUGCAGGGUAUAGACCCGAAACCCGGUGAUCUAGCCAUGGGCAGGUUGAAGGUUGGGUAACACUAACUGGAGGACCGAACCGACUAAUGUUGAAAAAUUAGCGGAUGACUUGUGGCUGGGGGUGAAAGGCCAAUCAAACCGGGAGAUAGCUGGUUCUCCCCGAAAGCUAUUUAGGUAGCGCCUCGUGAAUUCAUCUUCGGGGGUAGAGCACUGUUUCGGCUAGGGGGUCAUCCCGACUUACCAACCCGAUGCAAACUACGAAUACCGAAGAAUGUUAUCACGGGAGACACACGGCGGGUGCUAACGUUCGUCGUGAAGAGGGAAACAACCCAGACCGCCAGCUAAGGUCCCAAAGUCAUGGUUAAGUGGGAAACGAUGUGGGAAGGCACAGACAGCCAGGAUGUUGGCUUAGAAGCAGCCAUCAUUUAAAGAAAGCGUAAUAGCUCACUGGUCGAGUCGGCCUGCGCGGAAGAUGUAACGGGGCUAAACCAUGCACCGAAGCUGCGGCAGCGACACUUAGGUGUUGUUGGGUAGGGGAGCGUUCUGUAAGCCGUCGAAGGUGACCUGUGAGGGUUGCUGGAGGUAUCAGAAGUGCGAAUGCUGACAUAAGUAACGAUAAUGCGGGUGAAAAACCCGCACGCCGGAAGACCAAGGGUUCCUGUCCAACGUUAAUCGGGGCAGGGUGAGUCGACCCCUAAGGCGAGGCUGAAAAGCGUAGUCGAUGGGAAACAGGUUAAUAUUCCUGUACUCGGUGUUACUGCGAAGGGGGGACGGAGAAAGCUAGGUUAUCCGGGCGACGGUUGUCCCGGUUUAAGCGUGAAGGUGGAUGACUUUGGUAAAUCCGGGUCGUCAUUAACACUGAGGCGUGAUGACGAGUCACUACGGUGAUGAAGUAACCAAUGCUACGCUUCCAGGAAAAGCCUCUAAGCUCCAGGUAACAUCAAAUCGUACCCCAAACCGACACAGGUGGUCAGGUAGAGAAUACUCAGGCGCUUGAGAGAACUCGGGUGAAGGAACUAGGCAAAAUGGUGCCGUAACUUCGGGAGAAGGCACGCUGAUGGUAGGUGAAGUGACUUGCUCA
Molecule: ribosomal RNA, 1748 nt
Filed under: Pectobacterium carotovorum subsp. carotovorum
Lineage: Bacteria; Pseudomonadati; Pseudomonadota; Gammaproteobacteria; Enterobacterales; Pectobacteriaceae
Description: partial 23S ribosomal RNA
Rfam family: Bacterial large subunit ribosomal RNA
Source: RNAcentral